UACAGAGGGUGCGAGCGUUAAUCGGAAUUACUGGGCGUAAAGGGUGCGUAGGUGGUUACGUAAGUUAGGUGUGAAAUCCCCGGGCUCAACCUGGGAACUGCGCUUAAUACUGCGAAGCUAGAGUGUUGUAGAGGUAAGUGGAAUUUCCGGUGUAGCGGUGAAAUGCGUAGAUAUCGGAAGGAACACCAGUGGCGAAGGCGACUUACUGGGCAAUAACUGACACUGAGGCACGAAAGCGUGGGGAGCAAACAGG
This 253-nucleotide ribosomal RNA is filed under the name uncultured bacterium. RNAcentral describes it as "partial 16S ribosomal RNA". It matches the Rfam family "Bacterial small subunit ribosomal RNA", at positions 524 to 776 of the family's 1533-position model. The record is from RNAcentral.